Molecule: ribosomal RNA, 253 nt
Filed under: uncultured bacterium
Lineage: Bacteria
Description: partial 16S ribosomal RNA
Rfam family: Bacterial small subunit ribosomal RNA
Source: RNAcentral
UACGGAGGAUUCAAGCGUUAUCCGGAUUUAUUGGGUUGAAAGGGUGCGUAGGCGGCGCUUCAGGUCAGCGGUGAAAUACCGGGGCUCAACCCCGGGGCUGCCGUUGAAACCGGAGCGCUAGAAUUCCGAUGCCGUCGGAGGAAUGUGUGGUGUAGCGGUGAAAUGCUUAGAGAUCAUACAGAACACCGAUUGCGAAGGCAGCGUACCAAGCUACUUCUGACGUUGAGGCACGAAAGCGUGGGGAGCAAACAGG